AACGAGGCCGACCUGCGGCUGAGUUACCUGCGGAAGGAUCAUUACCGAGAGAGGGUGCGGUUUCCCGGCCCGACCUCCCAACCCUUGUGUCUACCACACCUUGUCGUUGCUUCGGCGGACCGGUCGUUCCUGACCGCCGGGGGUGUUGCACCCCGGGAGCGCGUCCGCCGAUGGCCCAACCACACAAAACUCUGUGUCCCGAAACGUGUCGUCUAAAGGAACUUGAUAUAAUCAAAAACA
RNAcentral lists this unclassified non-coding RNA (240 nucleotides) under soil metagenome. RNAcentral's name for it is "partial contains 5.8S ribosomal RNA, internal transcribed spacer 2, and large subunit ribosomal RNA". The record is from RNAcentral.